ACUGAGACACGGCCCAAACUCCUACGGGAGGCAGCAGUAGGGAAUCUUCCACAAUGGGCGAAAGCCUGAUGGAGCAACGCCGCGUGGGUGAAGAAGGUCUUCGGAUCGUAAAACCCUGUUGUUAGAGAAGAAAGUGCGUGAGAGUAACUGUUCACGUUUCGACGGUAUCUAACCAGAAAGCCACGGCUAACUACGUGCCAGCAGCCGCGGUAAUACGUAGGUGGCAAGCGUUAUCCGGAUUUAUUGGGCGUAAAGGGAACGCAGGCGGUCUUUUAAGUCUGAUGUGAAAGCCUUCGGCUUAACCGGAGUAGUGCAUUGGAAACUGGGAGACUUGAGUGCAGAAGAGGAGAGUGGAACUCCAUGUGUAGCGGUGAAAUGCGUAGAUAUAUGGAAGAACACCAGUGGCGAAAGCGGCUCUCUGGUCUGUAACUGACGCUGAGGUUCGAAAGCGUGGGUAGCAAACAGGAUUAGAUACCCUGGUAGUCCACGCCGUAAACGAUGAAUGCUAAGUGUUGGAGGGUUUCCGCCCUUCA
This 533-nucleotide ribosomal RNA is filed under the name uncultured bacterium. Its description in RNAcentral is "bacterial SSU rRNA". It matches the Rfam family "Bacterial small subunit ribosomal RNA", at positions 318 to 842 of the family's 1533-position model. The record is from RNAcentral.